GGGCUACACACGUGCUACAAUGGCGACUACAGUGGGCUGCAAUCCAGCGAGGGUGAGCUAAUCUCCAAAAGUCGUCUCAGUUCGGAUUGCUCUCUGCAACUCGAGAGCAUGAAGGCGGAAUCGCUAGUAAUCGCGGAUCAGCAUGCCGCGGUGAAU
Molecule: ribosomal RNA, 156 nt
Filed under: Sphingomonas adhaesiva
Lineage: Bacteria; Pseudomonadati; Pseudomonadota; Alphaproteobacteria; Sphingomonadales; Sphingomonadaceae
Description: partial 16S rRNA
Rfam family: Bacterial small subunit ribosomal RNA
Source: RNAcentral